GAUCAUGGCUCAGGAUGAACGCUGGCGGCGUGCCUAACACAUGCAAGUCGAGCGAUGAAACCGCCUCCGGGCGGACAUGAAGCGGCGAACGGGUGAGUAACACGUGACCGACCUGCCCCCCGCCCAGGGACAGCCCCCCGAAAGGGGGAUUAAUACCUGGUACUCCGGCAAGGAUGCAUGUCCUGGCCGGGAAAGCCUUGGCGGCGGGGAUGGGGUCGCGGCCCAUCAGGUAGACGGCGGGGCAGGAGGCCCACCGUGCCG
Molecule: ribosomal RNA, 261 nt
Filed under: uncultured bacterium
Lineage: Bacteria
Description: partial 16S ribosomal RNA
Rfam family: Bacterial small subunit ribosomal RNA
Source: RNAcentral